UUGCAGCCCAUCGCGUUUUAACCGGCUCAACACUGAAUUUCGGAGCGCGGGAUUCAUUCGACAGCAGCCCAGCCCAAGGGACGGCGCUGAAGCAGCGAUGGCCGGGCAGGGCUGGCGUAGCUCCCCGCGCGCCGCCUGCAAAGGGGACAGGUGAGAAGAACAGAUGAUUAUCAAUUAUCCCUGCAAAUGGGAGACGUCCAGCCCAGAUGUACGGCCUGCCCUUCACAGCAGCCUCCAGAUUUCAACUACCUUUGCAUUUUUGUCUCUUUUUCGGUGUGUUUUGGUCUUUAAAAAAAAAAAAAGAAAAAGAAAGGAAGAAAAAAAGAAAACUCUCUCUUAUACAAACCAAGUCACAGAACCAGCAGCAGUUUCAUAUUAAAAGAACAUUUGGUGGCAUUUUAAUCUCCGAAGGGAUCUGGAGAAGUGCAUUUUGUGCUCCUCACAUGGAGGCUGCUGCUCAGUGGGCUCACACAGGAAGCCGGGAGAGACAACACCCACCUCAGCCACACGGGAAUUUUGCCACCCCCAAGGUGAGACACAAGAAUUUUGCGAGGACACUCAGCUUUAUCCAGAGAUCAUUUGACAGGUCAUGUGCCUUCACAGCAUUUAUGUGUGAAAUAGGUGGGUUUUCCCCAAAUGUACACCUUCAAACUUCUGCUAGCGUAGAGAUGAACUCGGUCUUUACAGCCUUACUAACACAGUGUUGCUAUUACAAAAGCUCAUUGUUGGGUUUGAUGCAGGCUGGGGUCCCAGCUGGGAUUAGAGCUCCGCUGUGCCAGACACUGCAAACGCAUGGAAGAGAGAAGACCUUUCCAGGAUGA
RNAcentral lists this long non-coding RNA (821 nucleotides) under Struthio camelus australis. RNAcentral describes it as "lncRNA (ENSSCUG00000002507.1)". Lineage: Eukaryota; Metazoa; Chordata; Aves; Struthioniformes; Struthionidae. The record is from RNAcentral.